This 1173-nucleotide long non-coding RNA is filed under the name Anser brachyrhynchus (Pink-footed goose). RNAcentral describes it as "lncRNA (ENSABRG00000016792.1)". The record is from RNAcentral. Lineage: Eukaryota; Metazoa; Chordata; Aves; Anseriformes; Anatidae.
AAACCGCAGAAGGAACAAACACACCAACACCUACAGACUGCCAAGAAAAAAAAGACAUAUAUAUAUAUAUAUAUAAUUUGGCUAAGAUCACAAGCACCUAGCACUUACGAGCCAAGCCAUCAGAGAACUCUCCCUUCUGCCGCCCAACAUGAGGCAGGCGAUGCCGGGCUCCCACCCAGCACCCGCCGGGCCCCCGACCCCCCGGUGCCACCCCGGGGCGCUGAGGGGCUCGCUCCUUACCUCAGGCCGCCCCCACCGGGGCACGGCUGCGCCUGCAGCGCCCGGCCCCCGAGCCGAGGGACAGACGGACGGACGGAUAGAGGGACGGACGGACCGACGGAGGGAGGGAAGAAGGGAGGGAGGGGACGCCACGAAGCCGGCGCCUCGCUCAGCCGCCGGGCCCGAGCCCAGCGCCACAAGCGGGCCCAGCGCGGCCCCCCCACACCCACAGCCCCCCACCCACCCACCCACCCGGCUCGGGCCGCUCCCCGCCCGCCUGGCGCCGCCCUCGCCCCCCGCUCCACGCCGGGCACUCGGGGCCGCGCAUGGAGGCAGCCGGGUGCCCCCCACGGGGGCGCGCACACGCGGCGACGGGCACGGAGGGGUGGGGGCAAUCACCUGAAGCGGCGGUGGUGGUCGCGGCCGCCGCCUCUUGUUCCUGUUCUCCCUCCUCCUCCCGUCGGUCCCGCGGCGGGGGCUCGGCGCCUCAGAGCGGCGGCUCGGUGCCCGGCGGUGGCGGCAGAGCGGCUCCCCGAGGCACCAUGGCCGCGCCGCGCCGCCUCAGGGCGCCGCCAGCGCACGGCCCCGCAGCAGGGCGGCCAUGGCCCCGCUGCCUGCGCGCGCCCGACGCCCGGCGCCGCGCAUGCGCGCGCCCCGCCUCCGCUGAGGGGAUCGAGGGGGGCAGCGCGGAAUGGCGGCGGUCGCCCCCGCGCUGUGAGGAGGCACCGAGGGGGGCUGUGGAGGGAAGGGGUCGGUGCCCUGCCCGCUGGGCCCCUCUCAAACCCGGCAAGGCCGGGGGUCGGAUUCCGGUGGGACGCCGAGGCUGCAGCUCCGGCUCGGAGCUCCCCGGUGUCCAGGCUGCUGCCGGCCCCAAUAAUGAGUCACAGAAAGUCGCUCUGUAAAAUAUGGGUAGUGUCUGGCUGGAGGUUUGGAAGGGCAGAUCUGCGGUUUUGA